The sequence is a ribosomal RNA, 540 nucleotides long. It matches the Rfam family "Bacterial large subunit ribosomal RNA", at positions 1 to 587 of the family's 2925-position model.
GUUAUAUGGUCAAGCGAAUAAGCGCACACGGUGGAUGCCUAGGCGGUCAGAGGCGAUGAAGGACGUGGUAGCCUGCGAAAAGUGUCGGGGAGCUGGCAACAAGCUUUGAUCCGGCAAUAUCCGAAUGGGGAAACCCACUGCUUCGGCAGUAUCCUGCAGUGAAUUCAUAGCUGCUGGAAGCGAACCCGGUGAACUGAAAUAUCUAAGUAACCGGAGGAAAAGAAAUCAACCGAGAUUCCCUAAGUAGUGACGAGCGAACGGGGAGCAGCCCUUAAGCUGGAAUGGCUUUAGAAAAACAAUCUGGAAAGAUUGGCCAUAGAAGGUGAUAGCCCUGUAUUUAAAAGGGCCACUCCAGUGAAGACGAGUAGGGCGGGGCACGUGAAACCCUGUCUGAAUAUGGGGGGACCAUCCUCCAAGGCUAAAUACUCCUGACCGACCGAUAGUGAACCAGUACCGUGAGGGAAAGGUGAAAAGAACCCCGGAGAGGGGAGUGAAAUAGAUCCUGAAACCGUGUGCGUACAAGCAGUAGGAGCUCGCAAG